RNAcentral lists this ribosomal RNA (569 nucleotides) under Coilia nasus (Japanese grenadier anchovy). RNAcentral describes it as "partial 16S ribosomal RNA". It matches the Rfam family "Bacterial large subunit ribosomal RNA", at positions 1818 to 2595 of the family's 2925-position model. Lineage: Eukaryota; Metazoa; Chordata; Actinopteri; Clupeiformes; Engraulidae. The record is from RNAcentral.
CGCUCUUGCCACUCUAUUGUAUAAGAGGUCCCACCUGCCCUGUGACCAAAAGUUUAACGGCCGCGGUAUCCUAACCGUGCGAAGGUAGCGCAAUCAAUUGCCUUUUAAAUGAAGGCCUGUAUGAAUGGUAUAACGAGGGUUUAACUGUCUCUUUUUUCCAGUCAGUUAAAUUGAUCUGUCCGUGCAGAAGCGGACAUAAUAAUACAAGACGAGAAGACCCUAUGGAGCUUUAGACACCAACCAACCAUGAAAAGCAAUAAAUUAUUUAUAUUCCAAACACCCAUGGGAACUGGCAUAAUAGUCUUAGGUUGGGGCGACCACGGGAGAUAGCAAAGCUCCCGAGCAGACCAGGGAAAUCCUGAAACCAAGAGUUACAACUCUAAGUCACAAAAAUUUUGACUGAAAUGAUCCGGCCAAAGCCGAUUAACGAACCAAGUUACCCUAGGGAUAACAGCGCAAUCCCCUUUCAGAGUCCAUAUCGACAAGGGGGUUUACGACCUCGAUGUUGGAUCAGGACAUCCUAAUGGUGCAGCCGCUAUUAAGGGUUCGUUUGUUCAACGAUUAAAGUC